AGAAGGGAGCUUGCUCCCGGAUGUUAGCGGCGGACGGGUGAGUAACACGUGGGUAACCUGCCUGUAAGACUGGGAUAACUCCGGGAAACCGGAGCUAAUACCGGAUAGUUCCUUGAACCGCAUGGUUCAAGGAUGAAAGACGGUUUCGGCUGUCACUUACAGAUGGACCCGCGGCGCAUUAGCUAGUUGGUGAGGUAACGGCUCACCAAGGCGACGAUGCGUAGCCGACCUGAGAGGGUGAUCGGCCACACUGGGACUGAGACACGGCCCAGACUCCUACGGGAGGCAGCAGUAGGGAAUCUUCCGCAAUGGACGAAAGUCUGACGGAGCAACGCCGCGUGAGUGAUGAAGGUUUUCGGAUCGUAAAGCUCUGUUGUUAGGGAAGAACAAGUGCAAGAGUAACUGCUUGCACCUUGACGGUACCUAACCAGAAAGCCACGGCUAACUACGUGCCAGCAGCCGCGGUAAUACGUAGGUGGCAAGCGUUGUCCGGAAUUAUUGGGCGUAAAGGGCUCGCAGGCGGUUUCUUAAGUCUGAUGUGAAAGCCCCCGGCUCAACCGGGGAGGGUCAUUGGAAACUGGGAAACUUGAGUGCAGAAGAGGAGAGUGGAAUUCCACGUGUAGCGGUGAAAUGCGUAGAGAUGUGGAGGAACACCAGUGGCGAAGGCGACUCUCUGGUC
This 679-nucleotide ribosomal RNA is filed under the name Bacillus subtilis. RNAcentral's name for it is "bacterial SSU rRNA". It matches the Rfam family "Bacterial small subunit ribosomal RNA", at positions 70 to 734 of the family's 1533-position model. Lineage: Bacteria; Bacillati; Bacillota; Bacilli; Caryophanales; Bacillaceae. The record is from RNAcentral.